This 485-nucleotide ribosomal RNA is filed under the name uncultured bacterium. RNAcentral's name for it is "partial 16S ribosomal RNA". It matches the Rfam family "Bacterial small subunit ribosomal RNA", at positions 28 to 523 of the family's 1533-position model. The record is from RNAcentral.
GAUGGACGCUGGCGGCGUGCUUAACACAUGCAAGUCGAACGGUGAACACGGAGCUUGCUCUGUGGGAUCAGUGGCGAACGGGUGAGUAACACGUGAGCAACCUGCCCCUGACUCUGGGAUAAGCGCUGGAAACGGCGUCUAAUACUGGAUACGAGUAGCGGCCGCAUGGUCAGUUACUGGAAAGAUUUCUUGGUUGGGGAUGGGCUCGCGGCCUAUCAGCUUGUUGGUGAGGUAAUGGCUCACCAAGGCGUCGACGGGUAGCCGGCCUGAGAGGGUGACCGGCCACACUGGGACUGAGGCACGGCCCAGACUCCUACGGGAGGCAGCAGUGGGGAAUAUUGCACAAUGGGCGAAAGCCUGAUGCAGCAACGCCGCGUGAGGGAUGACGGCCUUCGGGUUGUAAACCUCUUUUAGCAGGGAAGAAGCGAAAGUGACGGUACCUGCAGAAAAAGCGCCGGCUAACUACGUGCCAGCCGCCGCAGUAA